Molecule: long non-coding RNA, 805 nt
Filed under: Brassica napus (rape)
Lineage: Eukaryota; Viridiplantae; Streptophyta; Magnoliopsida; Brassicales; Brassicaceae
Description: long non-coding RNA (BNAP_LNC015946)
Source: RNAcentral
CGUAACCGAACCGAAUACCCGAAUGCCCAGGGCCAGUGUUACUCGUGUCAUCAUUCAGAUUCAAUCGAUCUACCCAAGUCGACAUAGCCACUGUAAAGAUAAAAAUUAUACGUAUAUGUUAAGAUGCAUAGCCACGUUACAACAAAUUCUAUUACUUGCUAUUAAUGUUUUUAGUUUAUUUAAUGUGCACCAUUCAUCCGUUAAGUCGACGUAGCCAAUGUAGCCAUUGACCACAUGCACGUAGCCAUGUAGGACACAUACUAUCUCAACACCCCAACAUUAAUUAAGCUUUAGCUUUCUAUUGUCCAAAUGCUUAACUAAUCGGUUUGCCAAAACAAUGUCCUUGUAGGUCACACACACUACUCAUGAAAUACAAGUUGUUAUUAUUAAAAACUUUCUAACUUAGCCAAUAUAUAUAAACCCACAUUUCCCUCUAGCUCACAAACCAAACUCAAACCUUCUCUCAUCAAACAAGAUCAAGUUAACUUUACCUAAGCCAUUAAUUCAGAGCUCUUUUCUUUGUUUCUAGCUAAUACUAGAUAUGGCAUUCUUGAGGAGUCUUUUUGAUACUAAGCAAAUAAUUCGUCAGUCUCUUACUACUGAAUCAUCAACACCGAAAGGUUUCUUAGCUGUCUACGUUGGAGAAAAUUUGAAGAAGAAGAGAUUUUUUGUUCCGGUUUACUACCUGAGCAAACCAUCUUUCCAAGCUUUGCUGAGGAAAGCAGAAGAAGAGUUUGGCUUUGAUCAUCCAACCGGUGGUUUAAGCUUACCAUGCGAUGAAGCUUUCUUCUUCACUCUUACUUCU